This 832-nucleotide ribosomal RNA is filed under the name uncultured bacterium. RNAcentral describes it as "bacterial SSU rRNA". It matches the Rfam family "Bacterial small subunit ribosomal RNA", at positions 57 to 895 of the family's 1533-position model. The record is from RNAcentral.
GCAGUCGAGCGAGCAUCUUGCGGAACCUUCGGGUGGAAGCAAGAUUGACUGAGCGGCGGACGGGUGAGUAACGCGUGGGUGACCUGCCUCAUACAGGGGGAUAACAGUUAGAAAUGACUACUAAUACCGCAUAAGCGCACAGUGCUGCAUGGCACAGUGUGAAAAACUCCGGUGGUAUGAGAUGGACCCGCGUCUGAUUAGGUAGUUGGUGGGGUAACGGCCCACCAAGCCGACGAUCAGUAGCCGACCUGAGAGGGUGACCGGCCACAUUGGGACUGAGACACGGCCCAAACUCCUACGGGAGGCAGCAGUGGGGAAUAUUGGACAAUGGGGGAAACCCUGAUCCAGCGACGCCGCGUGACUGAAGAAGUAUUUCGGUAUGUAAAGGUCUAUCAGCAGGGAAGAAAAUGACGGUACCUGACUAAGAAGCCCCGGCUAACUACGUGCCAGCAGCCGCGGUAAUACGUAGGGGGCAAGCGUUAUCCGGAUUUACUGGGUGUAAAGGGAGCGUAGACGGCGAUGCAAGUCUGGAGUGAAAGCCCGGGGCUCAACCCCGGGACUGCUUUGGAAACUGUGUUGCUAGAGUGCAGGAGAGGUAAGUGGAAUUCCUAGUGUAGCGGUGAAAUGCGUAGAUAUUAGGAGGAACACCAGUGGCGAAGGCGGCUUACUGGACUGUAACUGACGUUGAGGCUCGAAAGCGUGGGGAGCAAACAGGAUUAGAUACCCUGGUAGUCCGCGCCGUAAACGAUGAAUACUAGGUGUUGGGGAGCAAAGCUCUUCGGUGCCGUCGCAAACGCAGUAAGUAUUCCACCUGGGGAGUACGUUCGAAGCC